This 276-nucleotide unclassified non-coding RNA is filed under the name Hevea brasiliensis (rubber tree). Lineage: Eukaryota; Viridiplantae; Streptophyta; Magnoliopsida; Malpighiales; Euphorbiaceae. The record is from RNAcentral.
GAUAAGGUGGGUCAUAAUCAAAUUAUCUCCUGAUGCAGAGUGAAGACUACAUACUCCAAACUUUUUGCAGAAACUUUCACUUCAUUUUAACCACAAGAUGAAAAUAUGAGACAAAAUUUGAAGGGACAAAAACAAGUUGAAGAUUCUUUCUCAUGGUUAGGAGUACCUAUCAUAUGCUCAAACACAUGUCAUAAUUGAAAGCAUGUUUGAAACAACAAAUCAAAAGAAAAAGUUUCCCCAGUCUCAACACACCUCAUAUUUCUGUAGGUCAACUCU